RNAcentral lists this ribosomal RNA (298 nucleotides) under Uloborus plumipes. RNAcentral describes it as "partial 28S ribosomal RNA". It matches the Rfam family "Eukaryotic large subunit ribosomal RNA", at positions 1596 to 1873 of the family's 3401-position model. Lineage: Eukaryota; Metazoa; Arthropoda; Arachnida; Araneae; Uloboridae. The record is from RNAcentral.
GAAAGGGAAUGGGGUCAAUAUUCCCCAACCCGGACACGGAGAUCGGUCCCUCGGGACCCAGUGCGGCGACGCAACCGAACUCGGAGACACCGACGGAGGACCCGGGGAAGAGUUGUCUUUUCUUUGUAAGAGUUCGUUUCCCUGGAAUCGGCUCGUCCGGAGAUAGGGAUGCUGUUCUCGUAAAAGCACCGCGGCUCUUGCGGUGUCCGGUGCGCCUCUGCCGGUCCUUGCAAAUCCGAGGGAGAGAGUGUGAUUUUCGUGCCGGUCCGUACCCAUAUCCGCAGCAGGUCUCCAAGGU